GACGAACGCUGGCGGCGUGCUUAACACAUGCAAGUCGAACGGAAAGGCCUCUUUCGGGGGGUACUCGAGUGGCGAACGGGUGAGUAACACGUGAGUAACCUGCCCUUGACUUUGGGAUAACUUCAGGAAACUGGGGCUAAUACCGGAUAGGAGCUCCUGCUGCAUGGUGGGGGUUGGAAAGUUUCGGCGGUUGGGGAUGGACUCGCGGCUUAUCAGCUUGUUGGUGGGGUAGUGGCUUACCAAGGCUUUGACGGGUAGCCGGCCUGAGAGGGUGACCGGCCACAUUGGGACUGAGAUACGGCCCAGACUCCUACGGGAGGCAGCAGUGGGGAAUAUUGCACAAUGGGUGGAAGCCUGAUGCAGCAACGCCGUGUGCGGGAGGACGGCCUUCGGGUUGUAAACCGCUUUCGCUCAUGACGAAGCUUUGUGUGACGGUAGUGGGUAAAGAAGCACCGGCUAGCUACGUG
This 467-nucleotide ribosomal RNA is filed under the name uncultured bacterium. RNAcentral's name for it is "partial 16S ribosomal RNA". It matches the Rfam family "Bacterial small subunit ribosomal RNA", at positions 28 to 507 of the family's 1533-position model. The record is from RNAcentral.